Molecule: long non-coding RNA, 1009 nt
Organism: Aphidius gifuensis
Lineage: Eukaryota; Metazoa; Arthropoda; Insecta; Hymenoptera; Braconidae
Exons: 4
Source: RefSeq, a predicted model, not a curated record
AUGAGAUCUUUAUCGAGACAUCAGACGUUAUGGGUGGUGUUUUGUUGAGCUUGGUUAAUCUCAAAGGUUCUUCUGCUUCGUAUUUCAACUCCAAAAAAAGAUGCAGCUAAAAUUAUUUAUACUGUGUGUGUUGUUAUAGUUGUUUGUAAGCAUGCUUGAUUGGAAAAUUAAGUUGUCCAAGCUUGUGAAAGACUUGACAUAUUCACAUCAAAAGGAGUUAACUGACAACAACAAAAUGAAAAUGACAGGAUCCAUCGUGGUAUUGUCAUGGAGAAACGAUGAUGAGAAUGAAGAUUGCGGGUGCCUCUUCACAGGGUUCAAGAUGUUGAAGAUUGAAUGAGAGACAUGGUAGACUAGUUGAACAUACACACAAUUUGUCAGAGACUGACACUAAGCCUCUAACUUUACCGUGUAGCUCAUCUUCAAAAAAGAGACAACACGUUCAACGAAGCCUUCUUGUCAUCAACAUUGAUGUUGUCCGAAGGGUUAUAACAAAAAAAACCUCAUAUUAUCUUUGUUCUUGAAAGAUUUAAAAUGGAAAAUAAAUUACAUAUUGUCUUGAUAUAUAUAUACAAUUUAAACACAUUGGCAAAACUUGGAAAAAAAGUGCUUGAACUGAUAGUGACAGAGAAAAUUGGCUAGUAAAAAAAAAAUAAUAUAUAUAAAAAUUGUCUGAAUGAAGAAACUUGGCAAGUGGCCCUGUGGUUAUACUCAUGGCAUACAUGGUUCUCUGCUUGUUGGUAUUGCUGACGUUUCGACAAUUUUUUUCCGUAUUAUCAGUGGAUCGAGUGGAAUAUAUACAGACUUAAAAUAUCGUCGUUCAGUCCAUGAAACAAUCUUUAGAUAAAAUCAAAGUAUUCUUAUCGUGAUAAAAGUAUUGAUUAAAAAAUUAUUCAGACGGAUGAGUUGGUGCCAAAUUUUCAACAACGCAACAAUGAUGUAUAUAUAAUGCACCACUUAAUGGGCAAUCUAAACAAGUAAAGCAUAAAGUUAUUCAAACUUUCUCAAC